This 404-nucleotide ribosomal RNA is filed under the name uncultured bacterium. Its description in RNAcentral is "bacterial SSU rRNA". It matches the Rfam family "Bacterial small subunit ribosomal RNA", at positions 355 to 775 of the family's 1533-position model. The record is from RNAcentral.
CAGGGAAUUUUGCACAAUGGACGGAAGUCUGAUGCAGCGACGCCGCGUGGGUGAAGAAGGCCUUCGGGUUGUAAAGCCCUUUUCUGGGGGAAGAGGAAGGACAGUAUCCCCGGAAUAAGGCUCGGCUAACUACGUGCCAGCAGCCGCGGUAACACGUAGGAGCCAAGCAUUAUCCGAAUUCACUGGGCGUAAAGCGCGUGUAGGCGGCUUGGUAAGUUGGAUGUGAAAGCUCCUGGCUCAACUGGGAGAGGACGUUCAAUACUGCCGGGCUAGAGGGCGACAGAGGGAGGUGGAAUUCCCGGUGUAGUGGUGAAAUGCGUAGAUAUCGGGAGGAACACCAGUGGCGAAAGCGGCCUCCUGGGUCGCACCUGACGCUCAGACGCGAAAGCUAGGGGAGCGAACGG